UCAAACCCUGCACCUCUGCACUGUGAGGCGGACGUGCUAACCAGUUGACCACCGUGUCGCCCACUGUGUGAAACAUGAUGAUCCAUAACCAUUUGUCACGCAGAAACACACACACACCUCCACAGGUGCGGCUCCCCGACUAACACGUCAAAGCCAAAAGGUAAGCAGAGCUGCAUUGAGUUCUGUUGGCUGCACAGAUGAGCAUCAAUGUCUGAUCAUAAACAGAUUUGAUGUCCUGCUUUUAAUGGAGGAUUGAUUAAAAAAAAAAUAAGCAAAUAAAAAUAUGGCCAAAGAAUCUAUGUGAGUAUCAAUUUGAAAUGUUUGGCUGUUUUAUAACUAGAGUCCGUACUUAUGUUCCAGCGGGUGGAGUUUGCAGUGGUUUCAAAUCGCCUGCCUAACUCGACCUCACAGUUCACUGACCAGAAGCACAUUCUUGCGAGGGUUAGCAAAGCUUUAAUGUUGUUUCCUUAAGCUCCGGCAUUACGUUCCGACUUUUUUUUUUUUUUUUUUUUUUUAGACAUGUUCCCGCCGUCCGACCGGUGGAUCACUGCAUGUUUUAUUCACACAUAUGCAAAGGAGAAGAGCUCGUAUUCGUGUGUAUCUUAUUAUAAAUGUAACAAGGAGUCAAGCACAUAGUGUUACUGAUUAGCGGCUGGGCAGUGUUGGAGCACACAGCUGUGGGUACGAAACACAGACACACACACACACACACGCACGCGCACCGCUUGCACUCAUAGCCGGCAGGCUGAUUGUCGAUCGCGAGGAGAAGCUUGAGCGUCACACUGGACACUGCAGCGCUGGGCUCAUGUGAAAAAAAUUGCCGCAGGGGUGGAUGAGAACAAGCUCUGAACACACGAAAUAAGCUCGGAUCGGCUCCAGCCAGCCCUCGACCCUCGUGAGGAUAAGCGUAUCAGAAAAUGGAUGGCUGGAUGAAAAUGAUGUUGCCUACAAUCACUGUACAGGAAGUUAAUAAAAGAGACACACGAUUUUGCUCAUUUUUCUCAAAGUUAUCAAAACAGGUAUUCAUAAAAAUGGCAGUAAAAACUCCUUUUGAAUGAA
This is a long non-coding RNA of Hippocampus comes (tiger tail seahorse), 1059 nucleotides long. RefSeq lists it as uncharacterized. NCBI's taxonomy places the organism in Eukaryota, Metazoa, Chordata, Actinopteri, Syngnathiformes, Syngnathidae. The record is from RefSeq and is a predicted model, not a curated record. The transcript has 2 exons.